Long non-coding RNA from Etheostoma cragini (Arkansas darter), 109 nucleotides. RefSeq lists it as uncharacterized. NCBI's taxonomy places the organism in Eukaryota, Metazoa, Chordata, Actinopteri, Perciformes, Percidae. The transcript has 3 exons. The record is from RefSeq and is a predicted model, not a curated record.
AAAUCAGUAUCACAAUAAUCAAUACAAAAAUCCAUAUAUUGCAGCUAACAGUGUUUUGUUACAGCAGGCAACAACAGUUAUUCAUUUCAUAUGGAAAAACAUAAUAAAU